AACAUGGAGAGUUUGAUCCUGGCUCAGGAUGAACGCUGGCGGUCUGCUUAACACAUGCAAGUCGAACGGAGCUUUUCGGAGCUUAGUGGCGGACGGGUGAGUAACACGUGAGAAUCUACCCUCAG
This 125-nucleotide ribosomal RNA is filed under the name Cyanobacteria bacterium RM1_2_2. RNAcentral describes it as "partial 16S ribosomal RNA". It matches the Rfam family "Bacterial small subunit ribosomal RNA", at positions 1 to 135 of the family's 1533-position model. Lineage: Bacteria; Bacillati; Cyanobacteriota. The record is from RNAcentral.